CACAUUCCCAUAACCUCAGUAUAUAAGGUAUGCUGAGGAGGCCUCAAGCCAUUCCAGGCUCUUCUGUGCCUGUGGGACUACAUUCUCUGUGCCGGGCUUAGAGAACACGAAGAGGGAGCCAUCUGCCACACUCUGGAGGCUGAAGCCUGCACCAGUGCUGCUCGCCUCACUGUGGUAGGUGGUGGUGAUGGAAACUGCAGAUCGGCCAGAGUGGUAGAAAAGUUGCUGCAGGGUUUUUCUGGCUUUGCCUGCCCAGCUGCUCCAUGCCUGGCUAGAGGAGAAGGAGGAGCCACAUGUGGUACACUGGAGGCUGGAGCCUGCAGAUGGCAUGGCUCUGCGGCUCACCUUGCUGCAGUUGGUGGUGGUGACAGAGACUGCAGCUUGACUGUAGUGAAUUUGGAAAUUAUCUGUCUGGAAGCUCUGAGUUUAUCUUGGGACCUCAAGAGGAGAGGAUCACCCAACUCACAGCAAUCAAACUCCAAAUGGUGCUAUAAACUGAACCACACAUGGACACGUCAGUCUUCCGAGGACCCUUAGAUCAACCCCAGGAGGAGCCCUAGCUGCUGUUCCCCAUUCGACGCCCCUUUCCAGCAGGAAGUAGCCAGAAGACAUCGUCGCCCAAACCUCUAACAGCAGUUAGUGCGGCAUCUCCACAGGGGGGAAUGUUGUAGGAGUUAUUGAUAAAUUAUUUUAGGCAGAUAGAGAGGAAAAGGGGUCCUUAGGAAGUUUUUGUUUUUUAAAGCACGUCUGGAAAAGUUUCUUGUAAAGCUCCAGCUCUUAAAGCCAGGCCAGUUACCCGAUAUCCAAAUGCCAGCCAUUAGAAAGUGGGUCCACCCAAACAUGGCGAUUCCUGUGGACUUCUUGCCCUUUCCCCACAUUCCUGGAUACAUGGACACCCCGAAGUAUCCCCACCUGUGUAGAAGAUCAUGGUGCCCUGCAUUUGCAUAUUAAAAGGCUAGGGUGGGAGAGCCAGCUUUUCCUGCGGGCUACGUGAAUGACAUGCCUAGUCAAACCAAUCCCCUGAGCCUGUGCAAAUCAGACACUGCCUCCUCCAGCCUCUGUAUAUAUACCUAGCUGGUAUCUGUGGCAGGUGGGGUUCCCUCUCUUGGCUUUGGAGCCCCCCUUCCUCUGUCUCUGUACAGGGGAGCUUCUUCCUUUUCCCUUCCCUCUUGCUUCUUCUUGCCUAUUAAACUCUCUCUGCUCCUUAAAAAUAAAAAAAACUAUAUUUGAAACAUUUCUAUAAUUACAUGACUGGUCGUUUAUAACUAAAUGACUGGAAUUCUCAGAAGAGAAAGCCAUUUAUUCAGAGCCAAGCUAUUCAGGUAAGUAUGGCUAUCCUGUUCUUUGAAGUGGUUCACUUCAACUCAACAAACUGCCAAUAUAAAUAUGACCUUGCUCUCUCCUUCCCAGCAGACAGGCCCAACUAACACACGUCCUUCUCCAAUUCCCCACCUUAAACAAUUCCUGUAUCUCACAGAAUGGCAACUGUGGCCACAAGAGAAAAAUAUAUACACUUGUGGGCUUUUCUAAAGAAAUAUAGUUAGAGCUAACUGGUUUGGUGAUUUUGUAUGUAUGUGAUUGCUGAAGAUGAAGGUUCAAAAAGGAGGAAAUCAGGACCUGAGCCUGGAAGGAUAAUGAAGAAUAGUUACUGGGGAAGAAUCCUGGGCACACUGUUAUGCUAGCCCUGCUCUAAUUAGAUUUAAAUGUUCUGCGAGUGUUAACAUGAACUAAACCCUACACAGAAAAUUUAAAAAAAAAACAAAAAAAACAAUGUUUCAGGUAGUUCCACAAGUAAGAAAAACUGGAUUUGGAUUUUGUAUAUGGCCAUAGUAAAAAAAUUCCAAGAAAGCUUUGGUUUCUUUUUUAAAGCUGACAAAGAUGUCCCCUUUGCCUUCAAGUCUUAAUUUUAGAAGGGUGACGAUUAAAAUUGUAUUUUCCAAGCACCCCUGGGAACCAGCUUGGAGCUGUUAACUCCAACCAAGGUGGAUGGAGUUAACAAACACAUUUCACUCUGGAAAUCACCUAAAUUAGAGGGAGAAUGAAUGGAUCUUGCCAAAAGGACUCAAACAGGCAAUAACUUUACAAUUAAAAAGAGAAAAGUGUCAAUAGCAAUAUAAGAAAGACAAAAUUGCAUCAGGACACACAUUGCAAAUAUGAGCUCACAAAAGGAAGCAGGUAGUAGAUCUUCACCUAUUUGUCCUACUGAGAGGGACAGAGAAUAUAUAAAGAGUAGUUAAAGAGUGAGAAUUUAAUGUAUUUUUCUCCUCAUUUUACCUGAGAGACAAAUGGGCUAAGAAAAGAUGGUACAAGCCAGAACAUUUUUGUUCUGACGGCUCUGCUCAAAUUAGCGUGUUUCAUAACCUUGAAGUACUAGGGUAAUUAUUCUGGCCUGACUAAUUUAAAUUAUAAUAUCAACAAGAUUCCAAGACUGAGUCUUAAAACGGCAGGGUUUCCAAACUGCGGCUUUCCAGUCCUCUUCUUCCGAGUGACUGCAGACAUACAGCUGGAGAGAAAGUGAGGAGAAAAAUACCAUGCAGGAGGACUUGACCUGCAGACAGCUGGCCUAGACGGGGCUCAUCAGAGAGAACACCAGCCACUCCACUCCCAGAACCACGGUGGCUGUUUACAGAGCAUUCACUGUGCACCAGACACUGUCCUAAGAGCACUGAUCCAUGGUCUCCUUAAAACACACCUUGAGACACCUAUCUUCACAAGUAAGAAAACAGAAGCCAAGAGAGUCACACAACUCAUAGGUUUGCUUUAACCCUGGCAGUCUGGUUCCUGAGCCCAUGCUCUUAAAGCGCUAUGAUAUAUUGCCUCAUGCCCCGAAAUUCUGUCAAAUACAUUCUAAAAAGGUUUAUAUUUAAAUAUCAGCAUCCUUGAUGUGACAGAACCUAAAUAUGUAGAAAAUCUUGAGAGAAAGGUCUCAUUAUUUCCUGAUGCCACCCAUGAGCACUUGUACCCAACUUACACGGCUUCCGUUCUGUGGAGCACACUUUACAAGCAGUCACGACUGUGCCCAUCUAGCUGGAAGUAGAGGGCAGAGAUCAGUGGCUUCGUCUCACAGGGCCGUAGUCUGGUACUGCCAACGGUGGCUUGGCCCAGCUGUGACCGGGACACUCAUGACCAGGACAGGCACUCAUGUAACGACCAAGAGCCUCUUCCCAUCAGGGCACAACAGUGCUCACAAUGCUUGGUUGCUGCUGGAGUUCCUGUCUUGGCGUGAUACUGGGAGGAAAAAGUGCCCAAGAGUUCUGUGCUUAGGGAUGCUUUCUGGGUGGUCUCCAAGUGCCUGUGGUAACCCCUUCAAACAGUAGCCUUCACAUAUUUAAGGGGCUCCUAACUAUGCAUAUUUCUACACUUUCGCCAAGAAAAAAUCCUGUCAGCUCCAGGAUGAGUUCAAAUAUAUAUGUGUACAAAGCUGCAAGUUCAUAUCCUGUUAUUUUGUAAUACAUAAUGAACAUAUAAUCCAACCAGACCUUCAUUUAAAAAUCAGCAUACUCAUGGCCUCACCUGUUUAACCCUUGAAUGCCCUUUUGGAUGUACAAUUAAUAUAAUUAUUUGAAAACAUGAUUGAGAGCAAUUGGUUGGCAGUUUGACUAUACCUGUAAGCCAACCUUGCAAAGACGAAAUCUCAUUCUGGCUCCCUUUCCUAAGGCCCUAGGGUGAAAUCGUUGGUGUAUCAUUUAAUUUCAUAAAUACAGGGGAUUACCAGGCAAUUAAAAAGUAGAAUUAUUUUAAAGCUUGGAAGAAGAAGAAUAGGUACAUCUUUUCUUUGAGUCUAUUUUAUAUAUUGCUUGACACCAAGCAAAGGUGCCCAAUAAAAUGAAACUAUGGCUGUUUGAUCAAUGGCUGAGUAUGAUCCAAAUUUAAUGAAACUCAAAGAAUGAAUGAAUGAAGAAACUAUUAAUUGAAUAUUUGUAAGAGUUUUUUCCAUUCAUUCAUCCAUUCUAUCUGUGCCUAAAUGCCUAAUGUGAAUUUCAGGAAGGCAAAACAAACAAACAACCCCAAAAAAGAAAAAACAUGUUAUUUAUUAGGAAGAUGUUAUAUAUCAAGC
RNAcentral lists this long non-coding RNA (4057 nucleotides) under Homo sapiens (human). RNAcentral's name for it is "HSALNT0372189". The record is from RNAcentral. Lineage: Eukaryota; Metazoa; Chordata; Mammalia; Primates; Hominidae.